This 5776-nucleotide long non-coding RNA is filed under the name Sus scrofa (pig). RNAcentral's name for it is "lncRNA (ENSSSCG00040075254.1)". The record is from RNAcentral. Lineage: Eukaryota; Metazoa; Chordata; Mammalia; Artiodactyla; Suidae.
CCUUUUGUAAAAUCCCACUCAGGUUUAGUUGAAAAGAUGAAUGAAAAAAUUAGUCUUUUUCCUUUCAUUUGUCCCUUCCUUCCUUUCUUUUUCACUUAUUUAUUUAGCCAGCAUGGGCUGUGACACCUGCUAUUCCUUUGCCCACUUGUCUUCCUCUGAAAGACUUUUGGAAAUUUUCAUUCAACAUGUGUAGCCUGUAUGGGAUAAGGACUUGGCCUCUAGGAAAUACGGGAAGCCAUGCUUCCAGUUCUGAGGCUGCUGGAAAAUCUGGAGCAAUAAAAUAAACCUCCAUCUUCAUGAUGGAAUGUGUUUGAAUAGUCUGCCCUCACUGGGACGUCUAACCUACACAUCAAAAGUUAAAUAGGAAAAGAAUGAAGUAAAAACACAGAGCAACAAAUGCAAAGGUGAGGUAUCCCACAUGUAAAGUAUUAAUAAUGAAUGCUAGGUAUUUACUAGGGUCAGACACAGCACCCAAAUAGAUGCAAAUGUGCAUGAGAUGCAACUUCUAAGAGCUCAGUGUGGAGGAGAGAGGCCAGUGGCUCAUUUGUGGUACAGCUCUGGGCUGGCAGAUAGAACACAUAUGCUGGAAGCAAUUCCUCCUGUACAGAGCAUCAGAAGACUUCACAUAGAAGGCUACCCUUGGACUGAAACUUAAAGAUGAAAUGGAGAGGUGAGGAGGAUGGCAUUUCAGGCAACGGGAACAGCAUGUACAAGGCAUGUGGGCCAGAAAAAACAAAGAAAGUUUGGUUAACUGCAAGUUGCUCAGUAGAGGCUGGGGCAGUGUAGGUCAGCCAGGGUCCAAGAGGGGUAGACAGGUCACACAGGAACUGUCCGCCCUAGCUGGCUUGGUGGCACUCCAAUUUAGGUCUGGCAUUAGGAUAAUAGCACUCUCUUUUGCCCUCCGAAGUAUUCCUGUUUGGUCACUGUUUGGUCAAUAACUUGUAGAGUCACCGGGUCUUAAGCAAGAGAGGAACACGCUCCAGGCUGUGUUUGGAGUAAUCACUCUGACCACCAGGUGGAUGAGCUGGAAGGGGUGAGACUGGAGGCUUGAUGGUGGUCUUUUGAGGUCCAUCCAGCCCUGGCACUUUUUGAUCCAGAUAGCUCUGGACCAGACACUGCUCCUAGAAGAGCACCCAACUGUCUUUUACUACUGGAUAAAUGUCCAAUGCGCCUAUAGAUGUGACAGAGCAGAGGGGAGGGUGAUACUUCUGUGACCUGUGUUCUGGGCAGGAUUCCUGGAGAAGGUGGAUCUGGACCUUGACCUUGAAGUAUGGGUAGGAUUCUAAUUGGCACUAGGUGGAUGUGCUGUGAGCCACGGUGUGGUGGUAAAGAUGAUCAGGACAUAGAGAGAGGAUACUUAAGAACCCUUACAUAACCUGCCAGCUGCCACAACUGCCACCCAAUCAUGAUAAAAGUUUACAAGCAUUUGCCUUCUGAUAUUUCUCCCUCUACAUCUCCAGGAAGUGUGCAGGCAGUGCAUUCUCUUGUGUAUGCCAAGAGCCCUUUGAGCAGAGCACUGGGAGCCAUCUGCACAAGGUGGCUCAAUGUAGGGUCUGCCCUCCUUUUAGUCUAGGCUCCCAGGAAAAGUCCCUGCAUGCUUACAACUCUAGGGAUUUUGACAGAGAAGACACCCAACAGCAUUGUCAGAUUGAAUGACCAGAGAGGAAACAGACGAUUGAAAGGAUUGAGUGAUUUGCCCAAGGUCAUAUGGGGAGCAGGUACUGGCAGUGAAGCUUGGACACAAGACUCUAGAACCUGUUCUUACAUUGGAACCAUGUGGUCACUAUACUCAAAAUGUAGACUUUAGUGUUGAGAGGCAUCAUGGUUAAGACGUGAUUCUAUCCAACAAGGAACCAUGAGGUUGUAGGUUCAAUCCCUGGCUUCACUCAGUGGGAUAAGGAUCCAGCAUGGCCGUGAGCUGUGGUGUAGGUCACAGAUGCAGCUUGGAUCUGGUGUUGCUGUGGCUGUGGUGAAGGCCAGCGGCUACAGCUCUGAUUAGACCCCUAGCCUGGGAACCUCCAUAUGACACAGGUGCAGCCCUCAAAAAGACAAAAGAAAAAAAAAAGUGAUUCUAACUGCAUAGGGUUUACAUUUCACUACUCUAAGCCUCUCCUUCUCUUUUGGCUUCUCUGGGUCUUUGUACAUCCUUCAGCCCAGGAUGAACUUUCCUUCUAUCUCUCUACAAAACCUCAUGCUCCCUUCAAGAUCCAGCCAGAACAACCCUCUGCUGCAGUACUGUUCCCACCACCCUGGCUGAGGGAGCGAGCCUUCCUUGCUGCUUCCAGGGCUCCAAGCUCAAACAGCAGGCGUCAGUGGUAGACUGCAUUGUAUAGUGGGCUAUUUACCAAGCAGAACACAUUGUAGGGUCUGCCUUUUCUGCCAUACUGUGAACCCCUAGGGAUAGAGGAUAUCUCAUUUAUCUUUAUAUCCUUGGUACCCCGACUAGCUCGUCAUAGGUAUCUGAUGAAUAUUUGUUGAAUAAAUGAGUGAAUGUGCUUAACCAGAAUCCAGAGCUCACAGUGUGAUCGUAUACUAAUUAUAUCCUGUCUUACUGGUUUUCUGUUGGGUUCAGCCCAUUGGAGACCCCAGCAGGAGAUCAGAGGCUGGGAGGGAAUGAGGUGGACUCUCUUUAUUCUCCUCCCUCACUUUUAGUCUUAGAGAGUGGUAUAUUGGUUUGCCAGGACUUCCCUGACAAAGUACCCCAGACUGGGUGGCUUAAUAAAAACUUAAUUUCUCACAGUCCAGGAAGAUAGAUGUCCAAGAUCAAGAUGUCAGCAGAGUGUUUCCUUCUGAGGUCUCUCUCCUUGGCUUGUAAUUACCCUUCUGCGUCUUCCCUUAGUUUUCUCCCUGUAUGAGUCUAUGUCUAAAGUUUCUCUUCUAAGAACAUCAGUCGUAUUAGAUUAAGUGCCCACACUAACUACCCCAUUUUAACUUAGUAUCUCUUUAAAGACUCUACCUCCAAAUGUAGUCACAUUCUGAAGUCCAGGGGUUAGGACUUAAACAUAUAAGUUUUGGGGGACAAGAUUCAGCCCACAACAGGUGGCAAAGUCUCCUCACUGUUGCAAGUGCCUAAGUGCUAGUCCCUAACCUUGUCCAUGCCUCUAUAACAGUAUCUUCCUAAGUGCUAUUUAAUUUGACCCUUUGCAAGUGUGCUCGCUAUUUUCUGUCGGAUCUCUAGUGGAUACAGAUAUUGAUGGCUGCAGUGGUAAUAAUCUGCAACUACUAUAGAAUUCCUUGAGAAAGGCAAAGUUUCAUGUUAAACUCUGGGAGAAAUUUAAAUCCAAAUAAUGAGCCUGUCCCUCUCUGUGCCUCAUUCUCUCCCUCUGCAGGAUGGGGAUAGGAAAGCAGGAGUUUUACGGAAGUCCAUUGUGAUAGAGGGUGGGACAACUUUGCAAACUGGAAAGAGCAGUGAGAGCAGAGGUGUACUGAGUCCAAGUGGGUAGUGGACCCACUUCUCCAGAGAGCAGCUUUAUGAAUCUGGAUGCCUGGGUCAGGAGCCUGAUGAUCAAAGCUGCAAAAAGGGGAGGGAUAUCCCAAAAGACAAGACGUGGCCAUUAGCAACAGAAGGGGGAGUGGGGAUGAGGCAUUUUUUCACAGUCCCCAGUAAAGCGAGCCUUUUGUCAGGAUAAGUUCUAGAUGUAAGGAAGAGCUUCCUUCUUCCUUCUUAGUAAUCAUGACCUACCUCAUGGGCUUGCUGAGUAUCUAGGGAAAACAGUCUAGGCAGAGAUCCUGGAUACAUCUAUUUAGGAUGAUGUUGACAUAGAGAGGACCAGUAUGUUCAUGCAGAAGCCAUGUUUCCUGUUUCUAUAAACAUCUAUAAUGUGAAAAAAGGCUUCCAUGGGUCCAUGGCACAAUUUAUAGCUUGCUUGUGCCAACAUAAAUCAAGCAUGCAUACCAUCCCAAUGAAAUAAGGCAGAGCGUUGAUUUAAGGUGGUGGAGACCUGCAAACAGUGUAGAUUCCAAGGCAACUCAUUCUUGCACCCUGUGAUUGCGUUAGUGUUCAUCUUUGGGAGCAGAGAAGGUCUAUCUGACCAUGUGGUGUGGUGGAGAGGGAGUGGGUUUUGACAUUAGACCAUAUGGGUUCAUGGCAGGUGUGGGAUCACAUUUUUAUUUAAGCUUAGUCUUUUCUAUAACAUAAGCCUAACAGAAUUGCCUCAAAAAAUUGUUGAGGGUAUUAAAUGAGGCAAAAGGGCUUUAGUAGGUUCUACUUUGGUGAUAAAGUCGUCUUUGUUUCCGUAAGCUCUCGGGUUUUGUUUAAUUUUUUAAAUGUCUUGUAAUUUAAAAUUGGUCUCCGGACUGGCAAAGGUCAAGUCAGUCACAAGCCAUGAACUCCAAAGUCACUGUAAAGAACUUUCCAUGUACUUGGCGACAAUGAACAUGGCCCAAGACCUAGUCAUAAGUUCUGUCCAACAGAGCGCUGAAGACCUUGAAGCCCUUUCACUUGCACUACCUCCUGUAGAUUCGAAUUCUCAUAGCUAUCUUUGCAUGGGGGCAGGUGGUUUUACCUACAUCUUUAGUAAUUAUUAUAGAGUAAUAAAAAUGGAAUAAUUUAGUAGCAAGAGAAGUCAAGUUUUCAGCCCAAAGCAUUGUACCUCUUGGGGAUUACAUUGGUGUCAGGGGCUCCUGGAGAUCCAUAGCUGUUUCUCAGAAAGAAAAAUACAUGUGGAAUGUCUCUUAUGAGUCAACCUUAGAAGCAUUGUGUUUAGUAGAUUUAGAAGAUGGGACUUUGGCCCCUAACUGCUACCCACUCACCAUGAGACCUUGUGCAGUCAAUUUCCUACUCUUGGCCUCAAUUUCUUCAUUGGCAGAAGAGGAAUAUUCCAAUCCUAACUAAUAGACAUACAAGGAAAGACCCAGUGACAGAAUGAAUAUACAGUAGUUUGUGAACAGUGACUACAAGGCCUCUUAAGUUAACAGGACCCCCCCCCAAAAAAAAAUGUUGAUUUCUGCUCCUCAAACCUCAUCCUCACCCAACUUCAGUCAAUGGCACCAGCAACCACCCACCCCUUGAUUUCCUCACCCACCAAGUAACAUUCAACAGCAAGCCUUCCUAACUACUUCCUUGGCUGUAGAAUGAUCAUUUUUUAUUUCUUAUAUAUUUCUUUUAAUAUAUUUUUAACCUUUUAUUUUAAAAUAGUUUUGACUUGCAGAAAUGUUGCAAUGUUUGUACAAAACAUUUUAAUGUAUCCUUCACUCAGAUUCCCCAAAUAUUAACAUUCAACUGUAUUUGCUUCCUCCUCCCCCCCCACCCCCUUUCUCUCUUUCCCAGUCUCUCUCUUUCUCCAAUUAGGUAGGUAGGUAGAAAUGCACGAGAGAGAGAGAGAGAGAGAGAGAGAGAUACUUAAAUACAGAAAUAUAGGUGUGCAUCAUUCAAGUCUCAGCUGAAAUGCCACCUCUGAAAGGUCACCUUCCCUGACCAUUUAAUGUUCCGAUCAUACCAUUGUAAUUGCAGUUCUCAACAAUGCUGAGCUGAAGCUGCUAUUUUUCUUAGCUAUUUAUUUACCUCCUUGCCUCCCCAACAAGAACAUAUUUUAUAAGGGAACUGGACUUGUGUGUCUUGCCUUGUUCACUGCCAAAUCCUCAGAACCUAGAACAGGCCUGCACAGAACAGAGAUGCUGCAUCUCUGCUGCAUCAGUGAAUUGGGGAAAUGCUGUGUCUGGCCAGUGGAGGAUCCACAAAGGCACACGUUGUGGUCUCCAUGGUCAAGGUCUGGAUGUCCUCCAGGGCCAACACCAGCUGCAGUAUAGUAGUAGUUGCAGAAUAGCUACACUCAUC